AGAGUUUGAUCCUGGCUCAGAUUGAACGCUGGCGGCAGGCCUAACACAUGCAAGUCGAGCGGUAGCACAGAGAGCUUGCUCUCGGGUGACGAGCGGCGGACGGGUGAGUAAUGUCUGGGAAACUGCCUGAUGGAGGGGGAUAACUACUGGAAACGGUAGCUAAUACCGCAUAACGUCGCAAGACCAAAGUGGGGGACCUUCGGGCCUCAUGCCAUCAGAUGUGCCCAGAUGGGAUUAGCUAGUAGGUGGGGUAACGGCUCACCUAGGCGACGAUCCCUAGCUGGUCUGAGAGGAUGACCAGCCACACUGGAACUGAGACACGGUCCAGACUCCUACGGGAGGCAGCAGUGGGGAAUAUUGCACAAUGGGCGCAAGCCUGAUGCAGCCAUGCCGCGUGUGUGAAGAAGGCCUUCGGGUUGUAAAGCACUUUCAGCGGGGAGGAAGGCGUUAAGGUUAAUAACCUUGGCGAUUGACGUUACCCGCAGAAGAAGCACCGGCUAACUCCGUGCCAGCAGCCGCGGUAAUACGGAGGGUGCAAGCGUUAAUCGGAAUUACUGGGCGUAAAGCGCACGCAGGCGGUCUGUCAAGUCGGAUGUGAAAUCCCCGGGCUCAACCUGGGAACUGCAUUCGAAGCUGGCAGGCUAGAGUCUUGUAGAGGGGGGUAGAAUUCCAGGUGUAGCGGUGAAAUGCGUAGAGAUCUGGAGGAAUACCGGUGGCGAAGGCGGCCCCCUGGACAAAGACUGACGCUCAGGUGCGAAAGCGUGGGGAGCAAACAGGAUUAGAUACCCUGGUAGUCCACGCCGUAAACGAUGUCGAUUUGGAGGUUGUGCCCUUGAGGCGUGGCUUCCGGAGCUAACGCGUUAAAUCGACCGCCUGGGGAGUACGGCCGCAAGGUUAAAACUCAAAUGAAUUGACGGGGGCCCGCACAAGCGGUGGAGCAUGUGGUUUAAUUCGAUGCAACGCGAAGAACCUUACCUGGUCUUGACAUCCACAGAACUUUCCAGAGAUGGAUUGGUGCCUUCGGGAACUGUGAGACAGGUGCUGCAUGGCUGUCGUCAGCUCGUGUUGUGAAAUGUUGGGUUAAGUCCCGCAACGAGCGCAACCCUUAUCCUUUGUUGCCAGCGGUUAGGCCGGGAACUCAAAGGAGACUGCCAGUGAUAAACUGGAGGAAGGUGGGGAUGACGUCAAGUCAUCAUGGCCCUUACGACCAGGGCUACACACGUGCUACAAUGGCAUAUACAAAGAGAAGCGACCUCGCGAGAGCAAGCGGACCUCAUAAAGUAUGUCGUAGUCCGGAUUGGAGUCUGCAACUCGACUCCAUGAAGUCGGAAUCGCUAGUAAUCGUAGAUCAGAAUGCUACGGUGAAUACGUUCCCGGGCCUUGCACACACCGCCCGUC
This 1398-nucleotide ribosomal RNA is filed under the name uncultured bacterium. Its description in RNAcentral is "bacterial SSU rRNA". It matches the Rfam family "Bacterial small subunit ribosomal RNA". The record is from RNAcentral.